Molecule: ribosomal RNA, 118 nt
Filed under: Gambusia affinis (western mosquitofish)
Lineage: Eukaryota; Metazoa; Chordata; Actinopteri; Cyprinodontiformes; Poeciliidae
Description: partial 18S ribosomal RNA
Rfam family: Eukaryotic small subunit ribosomal RNA
Source: RNAcentral
UUGUCUGGUUAAUUCCGAUAACGAACGAGACUCCGGCAUGCUAACUAGUUACGCGGCCCCCGUGCGGUCGGCGUCCAACUUCUUAGAGGGACAAGUGGCGUUCAGCCACACGAGAUUG